GGUCAGGAUGAACGCUAGCGACAGGCUAACACAUGCAAGUCGAGGGGCAGCAUAAAAGUAGCAAUACGUUGGUGGCGACCGGCGCACGGGUGAGUAACGCGUAUGCAACCUACCUAUCAGAGGGGAAUAACCCGGCGAAAGUCGGACUAAUACCGCAUAAAACAGGGGCACCGCAUGGUGAUAUUUGUUAAAGAAAUUCGCUGAUAGAUGGGCAUGCGUUCCAUUAGGUAGUUGGUGAGGUAACGGCUCACCAAGCCGACGAUGGAUAGGGGAACUGAGAGGUUGGUCCCCCACACUGGUACUGAGACACGGACCAGACUCCUACGGGAGGCAGCAGUGAGGAAUAUUGGUCGAUGGGCGAGAGCCUGAACCAGCCAAGUCGCGUGAAAGGAAGAAGGAUCUAUGGUUCGUAAACUUCUUUUGCAGGGGAAUAAAGUGCAGGACGUGUCCUGUUUUGUAUGUACCCUGAGAAUAAGGAUCGGCUAACUCCGUGCCAGCCGCUGC
RNAcentral lists this ribosomal RNA (504 nucleotides) under uncultured bacterium. Its description in RNAcentral is "bacterial SSU rRNA". It matches the Rfam family "Bacterial small subunit ribosomal RNA", at positions 22 to 518 of the family's 1533-position model. The record is from RNAcentral.